UACAGAGGGGGCAAGCGUUAUUCGGAAUUAUUGGGCGUAAAGGGCGCGUAGGCGGUUUUUUAAGUCGGAUGUGCAAUCCCUGGGCUCAACCCAGGAACUGCAUCCGAGACUGGAAGGCUAGAGUACUGGAGAGGGUGGUGGAAUUCCUCGUGUAGCGGUGAAAUGCGUAGAUAUUCGGAGGAACACCAGUGGCGAAGGCGGCUUACUGGCUCGAUACUGACGCUGAGGUGCGAAAGCGUGGGGAGCAAACAGG
Molecule: ribosomal RNA, 253 nt
Filed under: uncultured bacterium
Lineage: Bacteria
Description: partial 16S ribosomal RNA
Rfam family: Bacterial small subunit ribosomal RNA
Source: RNAcentral